GCUUGUCUCAAAGAUUAAGCCAUGCAUGUCUAAGUAUAAAUGUUAUACAGUGAAACUGCGAAUGGCUCAUUAAAUCAGUUAUAAUUUAUUUGAUAAUACCUUACUACUUGGAUAACCGUGGUAAUUCUAGAGCUAAUACAUGCUAAAAAACCCGACUUCUGGAAGGGUUGUAUUUAUUAGAUUCAAAGCCAACCGUGUAAAAAGCGUACCUUGGUGAUUCAUAAUAACUUGUCGAACCGCACGCCCUUGAGGCAGCGGUGAUUCAUUCAAAUUUCUGCCCUAUCAACUUUCGAUGGUAGGAUAGAGGCCUACCAUGG
This 317-nucleotide ribosomal RNA is filed under the name uncultured fungus. Its description in RNAcentral is "partial small subunit ribosomal RNA". It matches the Rfam family "Eukaryotic small subunit ribosomal RNA", at positions 30 to 349 of the family's 1831-position model. Lineage: Eukaryota; Fungi. The record is from RNAcentral.